AUUUUAGUCAUUUUUGUCUUCAAAAGAUCCUACAAAUGAUUUCCUUGAUAAAGCAAAAAUUCAUCUACAUGUUCCUGAGGGUGCUACCCCAAAGGACGGUCCCUCAGCAGGUGUCACUAUAGUCUCUGCCCUCCUCUCACUGGCUAUGGAUCGUCCAAUACGUCAGAAUGUUCCCAUGACUGGGGAACUGUCUCUCACUGGAAAAAGAGUCAUUGGCUCAGAUCAUUGAGGCUGGUAAAAGAGUUAUAGAUGAUCCUACACAUCUUGCUGAUUUUGGAGCUGCACUGACCAGUGGAGAAUCACAUCAAAUUCAAGCAGUUCUUGAAUGUCCAGACGUAA
This 339-nucleotide long non-coding RNA is filed under the name Amphimedon queenslandica. Its description in RNAcentral is "uncharacterized LOC109587153". Lineage: Eukaryota; Metazoa; Porifera; Demospongiae; Haplosclerida; Niphatidae. The record is from RNAcentral.